RNAcentral lists this ribosomal RNA (763 nucleotides) under Prevotella melaninogenica. Its description in RNAcentral is "bacterial SSU rRNA". It matches the Rfam family "Bacterial small subunit ribosomal RNA", at positions 28 to 776 of the family's 1533-position model. The record is from RNAcentral. Lineage: Bacteria; Pseudomonadati; Bacteroidota; Bacteroidia; Bacteroidales; Prevotellaceae.
GAUGAACGCUAGCUACAGGCUUAACACAUGCAAGUCGAGGGGAAACGGCAUUGAGUGCUUGCACUCUUUGGACGUCGACCGGCGCACGGGUGAGUAACGCGUAUCCAACCUUCCCAUUACUGUGGGAUAACCUGCCGAAAGGCAGACUAAUACCGCAUAGUCUUCGAUGACGGCAUCAGAUUUGAAGUAAAGAUUUAUCGGUAAUGGAUGGGGAUGCGUCUGAUUAGCUUGUUGGCGGGGUAACGGCCCACCAAGGCGACGAUCAGUAGGGGUUCUGAGAGGAAGGUCCCCCACAUUGGAACUGAGACACGGUCCAAACUCCUACGGGAGGCAGCAGUGAGGAAUAUUGGUCAAUGGACGGAAGUCUGAACCAGCCAAGUAGCGUGCAGGAUGACGGCCCUAUGGGUUGUAAACUGCUUUUGUAUGGGGAUAAAGUUAGGGACGUGUCCCUAUUUGCAGGUACCAUACGAAUAAGGACCGGCUAAUUCCGUGCCAGCAGCCGCGGUAAUACGGAAGGUCCAGGCGUUAUCCGGAUUUAUUGGGUUUAAAGGGAGCGUAGGCUGGAGAUUAAGUGUGUUGUGAAAUGUAGACGCUCAACGUCUGAAUUGCAGCGCAUACUGGUUUCCUUGAGUACGCACAACGUUGGCGGAAUUCGUCGUGUAGCGGUGAAAUGCUUAGAUAUGACGAAGAACUCCGAUUGCGAAAGGCAGCUGANCGGGAGCGCAACUGACGCUUAAGCUCGAAGGUGNNGGUAUCAAACAGG